RNAcentral lists this long non-coding RNA (1089 nucleotides) under Lynx pardinus (Iberian lynx). Lineage: Eukaryota; Metazoa; Chordata; Mammalia; Carnivora; Felidae. The record is from RNAcentral.
GUUUUUGGAUUGGGUUUCGGUCUUUAUUUUUUAUUUUUUAUAAUAUUAAAAAAAUUUAAUGUUUAUUUAUUUUUGAGAGCGAGACAGAGAGAGACAGAGUGCAAGUGGAGGGGCAGAGAGAGAGGGAGACACAGAAUCUGAAGCAGGCUCCAGGUGGCUCAGUUGCUUAGGCAUCCAACUGUUGAUCUCGGCUCAGGCCAUGAUCUCAUGGUUCGUGGGAUCAAGACUCGCAUCAGGCUCUACACUGAUAGUGUGGAGCCUGCUUGGGAUUCUCUCUCUCUCUCUCUCUCUCUCUCUCUCUUUCUCUCUGUCUCUCCUUUUCUCUGCCCCUCGCUCACUCGUGCACGCUCUCGCUCUCUCAAAAUAAAUAAGCAAACUGAAAACAAUCCUAAAUGAAUUUGUUUAUAAAUUUGGCAUUCUCCCUUUUAAUGCACAUUUUUUUUUAAUUUUUUUUUCAACGUUUAUUUAUUUUUGGGACAGAGAGAGAGCAUGAACGGGGUCCUGUGUCUCACGGACCGCGAGAUCGUGACCUGGCUGAAGUCGGACGCUUAACCGACUGCGCCACCCAGGCGCCCCUAAUGCACAUUUUAAAUGCAUGGGGGUGGUGCGUGUUUCACAUGCUGCUAAAUUAAAACAACAUCAUGGUUAGGUGUCAUUUCCAACGAUGGCCAUGAGGACAUCUCCCCUCCAUUUCAACCACCCAAACCUUCCCCGGCCCAUCCCUGAUCUCAGUAAAUGGCACUGUCCAUUUACUUGAACCCAAACUUAACCUCUUCUUGAUUCCUCCUUUCACACCCCAUCCACCUGCAAGUUCUGUCAGCUUUACCUUGAAAAUAUACCCUGAAUCUGACCUUCUGUCCCUCCUCCACCGUCGCUACUCUGUCCAGGUCACCAUCACCUCUGCCUGGACAUCUGCAAAAGUCUCUUAAAAACUACGGGUGCCUGGGGGGCUCAGGUUAUAAUCUCACAGUUCCUGGGAUUAAGCCCCUCAUAGAGCUCUGUGCUGAUUGUGGAGACUGCUUAACACUCUUCCUCUCUCGGGGCUCCUGUGUGGUUCAGUUGGUUAAGCGCCGGCUGAGGUUGUGAUCU